AUUGAACGCUGGCGGCAGGCCUAACACAUGCAAGUCGAGCGGAUGAAGGGAGCUUGCUCCUGGAUUCAGCGGCGGACGGGUGAGUAAUGCCUAGGAAUCUGCCUGGUAGUGGGGGAUAACGUCCGGAAACGGGCGCUAAUACCGCAUACGUCCUGAGGGAGAAAGUGGGGGAUCUUCGGACCUCACGCUAUCAGAUGAGCCUAGGUCGGAUUAGCUAGUUGGUGGGGUAAAGGCCUACCAAGGCGACGAUCCGUAACUGGUCUGAGAGGAUGAUCAGUCACACUGGAACUGAGACACGGUCCAGACUCCUACGGGAGGGAGCAGUGGGGAAUAUUAGACAAUGGGCGAAAGCCUGAUCCAGCCAUGCCGCGUGUGUGAAGAAGGUCUUCGGAUUGUAAAGCACUUUAAGUUGGGAGGAAGGGCAGUAAGUUAAUACCUUGCUGUUUUGACGUUACCAACAGAAUAAGCACCGGCUAACUUCGUG
RNAcentral lists this ribosomal RNA (484 nucleotides) under uncultured bacterium. Its description in RNAcentral is "partial 16S ribosomal RNA". It matches the Rfam family "Bacterial small subunit ribosomal RNA", at positions 30 to 507 of the family's 1533-position model. The record is from RNAcentral.